UAGGGAAUCUUCCGCAAUGGGCGAAAGCCUGACGGAGCAACGCCGCGUGAGUGAUGAAGGUCUUCGGAUCGUAAAACUCUGUUAUUAGGGAAGAACAAAUGUGUAAGUAACUAUGCACGUCUUGACGGUACCUAAUCAGAAAGCCACGGCUAACUACGUGCCAGCAGCCGCGGUAAUACGUAGGUGGCAAGCGUUAUCCGGAAUUAUUGGGCGUAAAGCGCGCGUAGGCGGUUUUUUAAGUCUGAUGUGAAAGCCAACGGCUCAACCGUGGAGGGUCAUUGGAAACUGAAAAACAUGAGUGCAGAAGAGGAAAGUGGAAUUCCAUGUGGAGCGGUGAAAUACUCAGAAAUAUGGAGAAACACCAGUGGUAAAGGCGACUUUCUGGUCUGUAACUGAAGAUAAUGUGCGAAAGCGUGGGGAUCAAACAGG
This 429-nucleotide ribosomal RNA is filed under the name Acidobacteriota bacterium. RNAcentral's name for it is "Acidobacteria bacterium partial 16S ribosomal RNA". It matches the Rfam family "Bacterial small subunit ribosomal RNA", at positions 355 to 776 of the family's 1533-position model. Lineage: Bacteria; Pseudomonadati; Acidobacteriota. The record is from RNAcentral.